GGGGAGGUCGCAUAGUUGGCCUAGUGCGGUUGUUUGCUAAACAACUGAGGGAGCAAUCCCUCCGAGGGUUCGAAUCCCUCCCUUCCCGCCA
RNAcentral lists this transfer RNA (91 nucleotides) under Herpetosiphon sp. RNAcentral describes it as "tRNA-Ser". It matches the Rfam family "tRNA". From Rfam's summary of the family: Transfer RNA (tRNA) molecules are approximately 80 nucleotides in length. Lineage: Bacteria; Bacillati; Chloroflexota; Chloroflexia; Herpetosiphonales; Herpetosiphonaceae. RNAcentral also lists the same sequence under 1 other name. The record is from RNAcentral.